Molecule: ribosomal RNA, 331 nt
Filed under: uncultured bacterium
Lineage: Bacteria
Description: partial 16S ribosomal RNA
Rfam family: Bacterial small subunit ribosomal RNA
Source: RNAcentral
CCUACGGGAGGCAGCAGUGAGGAAUAUUGGUCAAUGGGCGCGAGCCUGAACCAGCCAAGUCGCGUGAAGGAUGACUGCCCUACGGGUUGUAAACUUCUUUUAUAAAGGAAUAAAGUCAUGCGCGUGUGCCUUUCCGUAUGUACUUUAUGUAUAAGGAUCGGCUAACUCCGUUCCAGCAGCCGCGGUAAUACGGAGGGUCCGAGCGUUGUCUGGAUUUAUUGGGUUUAAAGGGAGCGUAGAUGGGUUGUUAAGUCAGAUGUGAAAGUCUGCGGCUCAACCGUAACAGUGCAAUUGAUACUGGCAGUCUUGAGUACAGAUGAGGUAGGCGGAA